GGGGGUGUUCCGGUUUCGACGGGGUGUAGGACGUCGCACGGUGCAUGCCGAGGUCUAGUCACCUCGUAAAACCGCUAGAAACAAAUAAACGCCAACAACGAGCGUUUCGCUCUCGCCGCUUAAGCCGCGAGCGAUGCACUGAGUGGUCUCUGGCUCAGGUCGGGUAAAACCGGCAGCAUCGUCAUUCACAGAGUCUAGGAGCAGACGGAGUCGUGACGGCUUCUCCGAAAUUCAAGCGACUGGUCGUUUGCCGGCCCGUUCAAUGGCAGGGCAAAUGAUGAGAACUUAAAUGAUUGAACUAAGCUUGUAGAUCCGGCGGAAAAAUCGCUUCGGACGCGGGUUCAAUUCCCGCCACCUCCACCA
This 363-nucleotide transfer-messenger RNA is filed under the name uncultured Duodenibacillus sp. It matches the Rfam family "transfer-messenger RNA". Rfam says of the family: Bacterial tmRNA, also known as 10Sa RNA or SsrA, is named for its dual tRNA and mRNA-like properties. Its role is to liberate the mRNA from a stalled ribosome. To accomplish this part of the tmRNA is used as a reading frame that ends in a translation stop signal. The record is from RNAcentral. Lineage: Bacteria; Pseudomonadati; Pseudomonadota; Betaproteobacteria; Burkholderiales; Sutterellaceae.